This 30-nucleotide non-coding RNA is filed under the name Mus musculus (house mouse). The record is from RNAcentral. Lineage: Eukaryota; Metazoa; Chordata; Mammalia; Rodentia; Muridae.
UUGGUGGAGUCCAAUUUGACAGCUCACAGA